CCUACGGGAGGCAGCAGUGGGGAAUCUUGCACAAUGGAGGAAACUCUGAUGCAGCGAUGCCGCGUGAGUGAAGAAGGCCCUUGGGUUGUAAAGCUCUUUCGUCGGGGAAGAAAAUGACUGUACCCGAAUAAGAAGGUCCGGCUAACUUCGUGCCAGCAGCCGCGGUAAUACGAAGGGACCUAGCGUAGUUCGGAAUUACUGGGCUUAAAGAGUUCGUAGGUGGUUGAAAUAGUUGGUGGUGAAAUCCCAGAGCUUAACUCUGGAACUGCCAUCAAAACUUUUCAGCCAGAGUAUGAUAGAGGAAAGCAGAAUUUCUAGUGUAGAGGUGAAAUUCGUAGAUAUUAGAAAGAAUACCAAUUGCGAAGGCAGCUUUCUGGAUCAUUACUGACACUGAGGAACGAAAGCAUGGGUAGCGAAGAGGAUUAGAUACCCUCGUAGUCCAUGCCGUAAACGAUGUGUGUUAGACGUUGGAAAUUUAUUUUCAGUGUCGCAGCAAAAGCGAUAAACACACCGCCUGGGGAGUACGACCGCAAGGUUAAAACUCAAAGGAAUUGACGG
RNAcentral lists this ribosomal RNA (558 nucleotides) under uncultured Pelagibacterales bacterium. RNAcentral's name for it is "bacterial SSU rRNA". It matches the Rfam family "Bacterial small subunit ribosomal RNA", at positions 338 to 916 of the family's 1533-position model. The record is from RNAcentral. Lineage: Bacteria; Pseudomonadati; Pseudomonadota; Alphaproteobacteria; Candidatus Pelagibacterales.